Molecule: long non-coding RNA, 680 nt
Organism: Humulus lupulus (European hop)
Lineage: Eukaryota; Viridiplantae; Streptophyta; Magnoliopsida; Rosales; Cannabaceae
Exons: 4
Source: RefSeq, a predicted model, not a curated record
UAUAACUCUUCUCCCUCCUUCGCAUCCUUCCUCUCUUCUUCUAUCUCAUUAUUUCUUUCUUUUUUCUUCUUUUUCUUGUAGGUUUCUUAACUGAUUGCUUUCUUUUUUAAUUUUCAAAGUCUCACUACAUUCAGAUUAUGGUUGGAAAAAUUCCUUUAGGGCUUGAUUUGACCUUGCAAAGAAAGGAAAAGAUCUUUAGAGAAGUGGGUUUGAGGUGUUAAUUGCAGCAGCAAGGUUUGGGCUUUUGGACUGUAGUGGAUGGAUUUGUACGUUAGGUCUUGGCUCAAUAAACUAGCACCAUUUUUAUAGAUCUACUCCUAUUUAUAUUUCCUUGCUCUAUCCUUAUUCUAUUUCAGAUGAAGGGGAUGUGAAUGAGUACAACUUGAAACAAACGGGAAGGAGUCCAAUUGGUACAAUACGAAAUUUUUUAAAUGGUCGUUGAAAUUACUCUGAUGCAAAAGUUCCACACCUUGUCUAUGGUAUAAUGAGAUUGAUUUUUUGAAGCAAAAAUGAGCAAAUUUGUGGAUGAGGUCAUUAGAAUCAAAUAAUCUUUUUUCUUAACUUUGUAGCUUAUAUAUAGAAUUCUAAUUUUGUAGAAUUUAUUUUGUAAUAUGAUUUUAGAAGCCUAAACUAGACUAAAUAUUGUAAAUCUAUUCAAGCAAUUCAUAAACAUUUCUUUA